GCUUAACACAUGCAAGUCGAGGGGCAGCACAGGUAGCAAUACCGGGUGGCGACCGGCGCACGGGUGAGUAACGCGUAUGCAACUUGCCUAUCAGAGGGGGAUAACCCGGCGAAAGUCGGACUAAUACCGCAUGAAGCAGGGGCCCCGCAUGGGGAUAUUUGCUAAAGAUUCAUCGCUGAUAGAUAGGCAUGCGUUCCAUUAGGCAGUUGGCGGGGUAACGGCCCACCAAACCGACGAUGGAUAGGGGUUCUGAGAGGAAGGUCCCCCACAUUGGUACUGAGACACGGACCAAACUCCUACGGGAGGCAGCAGUGAGGAAUAUUGGUCAAUGGCCGAGAGGCUGAACCAGCCAAGUUGCGUGAGGGAUGAAGGUUCUAUGGAUCGUAAACCUCUUUUAUAAGGGAAUAAAGUGCGGGACGUGUCCCGUUUUGUAUGUACCUUAUGAAUAAGGAUCGGCUAACUCCGUGCCAGCAGCCGCGGUAAUACGGAGGAUCCGAGCGUUAUCCGGAUUUAUUGGGUUUAAAGGGUGCGUAGGCGGCCUUUUAAGUCAGCGGUGAAAGUCUGUGGCUCAACCAUAGAAUUGCCGUUGAAACUGGGGGGCUUGAGUAUGUUUGAGGCAGGCGGAAUGCGUGGUGUAGCGGUGAAAUGCAUAGAUAUCACGCAGAACCCCGAUUGCGAAGGCAGCCUGCCAAGCCAUUACUGACGCUGAUGCACGAAAGCGUGGGGAUCAAACAGGAUUAGAUACCCUGGUAGUCCACGCAGUAAACGAUGAUCACUAGCUGUUUGCGAUACACUGUAAGCGGCACAGCGAAAGCGUUAAGUGAUCCACCUGGGGAGUACGCCGGCAACGGUGAAACUCAAAGGAAUUGACGGGGGCCCGCACAAGCGGAGGAACAUGUGGUUUAAUUCGAUGAUACGCGAGGAACCUUACCCGGGUUUGAACGCAUUCGGACCGAGGUGGAAACACCUUUUCUAGCAAUAGCCGUUUGCGAGGUGCUGCAUGGUUGUCGUCAGCUCGUGCCGUGAGGUGUCGGCUUAAGUGCCAUAACGAGCGCAACCCUUGCCACUAGUUACUAACAGGUAAAGCUGAGGACUCUGGUGGGACUGCCAGCGUAAGCUGCGAGGAAGGCGGGGAUGACGUCAAAUCAGCACGGCCCUUACAUCCGGGGCGACACACGUGUUACAAUGGCGUGGACAAAGGGAAGCCACCUGGCGACAGGGAGCGAAUCCCCAAACCACGUCUCAGUUCGGAUCGGAGUCUGCAACCCGACUCCGUGAAGCUGGAUUCGCUAGUAAUCGCGCAUCAGCCAUGGCGCGGUGAAUACGUUCCCGGGCCUUGUACACACCGCCCGUCAAGCCAUGGGAGCCGGGGGUACCUGAAGUCCGUAACCGCGAGGAUCGGCCUAGGGUAAAACUGGUGACUGG
RNAcentral lists this ribosomal RNA (1425 nucleotides) under uncultured organism. RNAcentral describes it as "16S ribosomal RNA". It matches the Rfam family "Bacterial small subunit ribosomal RNA". The record is from RNAcentral.